UACGUAGGGUGCGAGCGUUGUCCGGAAUUAUUGGGCGUAAAGAGCUUGUAGGCGGUUUGUCGCGUCUGCUGUGAAAAUCCGGGGCUCAACCCCGGACUUGCAGUGGGUACGGGCAGACUAGAGUGUGGUAGGGGAGACUGGAAUUCCUGGUGUAGCGGUGGAAUGCGCAGAUAUCAGGAGGAACACCUGCGGCGAAGGCGGGUUGCUGGGCCGACACUGACGCUGAGGCGCGAAAGCGUGGGGAGCAAACAGG
This 253-nucleotide ribosomal RNA is filed under the name uncultured bacterium. RNAcentral describes it as "partial 16S ribosomal RNA". It matches the Rfam family "Bacterial small subunit ribosomal RNA", at positions 524 to 776 of the family's 1533-position model. The record is from RNAcentral.